AUGUUUCCAUUUAGGUUCAAGAGGAAGCAGUUUCCAGUCAGGCUUAGCUUUGCUCUGACCAUUAACAAGGCACAGGGACAAACUAUACCAAAUUUUGUUGUAUACCUCCCUGAACCGGUACUUUCAGACGGGCAACUCUAUGUUGCUCUUUCUAGAGCUACAUCAAGAAGUUAUAUGAAGAUUCUUACUGUCCCAGAUAAGCAAAAGGAAGGCCAAACCAACUCCAAUGCAAAUUUUACAAAGAACAUAGUCUACAAAGAAGUUCUCAGCGUGUAG
This 276-nucleotide ribosomal RNA is filed under the name Triticum aestivum (bread wheat). RNAcentral describes it as "partial small subunit ribosomal RNA". The record is from RNAcentral. Lineage: Eukaryota; Viridiplantae; Streptophyta; Magnoliopsida; Poales; Poaceae.